This 621-nucleotide ribosomal RNA is filed under the name uncultured Bacteroidota bacterium. RNAcentral describes it as "bacterial SSU rRNA". It matches the Rfam family "Bacterial small subunit ribosomal RNA", at positions 250 to 872 of the family's 1533-position model. Lineage: Bacteria; Pseudomonadati; Bacteroidota. The record is from RNAcentral.
UGGUGUGGUAACGGCUCACCAAGGCGACGAUGUCUAGGGGCUCUGAGAGGAGAAUCCCCCACACUGGUACUGAGACACGGACCAGACUCCUACGGGAGGCAGCAGUAAGGAAUAUUGGUCAAUGGAGGGAACUCUGAACCAGCCAUGCCGCGUGCAGGAAGACGGCCCUACGGGUUGUAAACUGCUUUUGUACGGGAAUAACCGCCGGUAUGUAUACCGGUCUGAAUGUACCGUAAGAAUAAGGAUCGGCUAACUCCGUGCCAGCAGCCGCGGUAAUACGGAGGAUCCGAGCGUUAUCCGGAAUUAUUGGGUUUAAAGGGUGCGUAGGCGGGCAGCUAAGUCAGUGGUGAAAUACGGUGGCUCAACCAUCGCAGUGCCGUUGAUACUGGUUUUCUUGAAUCUACUUGAGGUAGGCGGAAUGUGGCAAGUAGCGGUGAAAUGCAUAGAUAUGCCACAGAACACCGAUUGCGAAGGCAGCUUACCAAGGUACGAUUGACGCUGAGGCACGAAAGCGUGGGGAUCGAACAGGAUUAGAUACCCUGGUAGUCCACGCCCUAAACGAUGAACACUCGAUGUCGGCGAUAGACAGUCGGCGUCCAAGCGAAAGCGUUAAGUGUCCAC